ACUGAAAUUUACACUAUUGACGGCGAAGAGUUGCGGUUUUCUCUGCGGUUAUUGAAGGAUGACUUAGUUUGUGUUUGCGUGAUUACAAGAGAUUAUUAACACUAUUGUGUGACACACCAGCAUCCCUGGCCUGCCAACAGCAUCACUGGCCCUAUUGAGCCCAGCUGCUGGAAUACCAGUAGGCUCUGGGACGACCCACGAGUCCAUCUGGUUGAGUGAAAGGGCCCAGGUGCAGUAGGUCAGACAUGAUUCACUUUUGCAGUUAAUUUUACUUACAUGGGAAAUACAAUGGAAGAAAAUAUCGGGCUGGUGUCAUAUCUCAGAAGGUCUUUGGUUCAAAUCUGAAUCAUAAUUAUUCUCAUGGCAAUGAACGGUUUUCCGCUGCAAUUUGCCAGGAGACAAGCACUGAUAAACUUGCACUAUCGUCUUGGGAUGUGAGAUAUUUUUUUAAUUUGCUCUCAUUUGAAUUCUAUGACGUUAUUUAUAAAUGUCUAACUUUGCCAAAUGUUAGAAAUUACUGCAAACAGAACUGGUAAACAUGUUUUAUUUAUUAUUAGGCUAUUGCACAUGCACAUUAGAUGGAAUGUCGUUGCUUCUAACAUGAUCUUGCAAAGGUCUUAAAAAUGUACCAAGUUUGAAAGGUUUAAUUUUGAUAUGAUUGAUGGAUGGCUUGGAUUUAAUACAUAUUGUACUUUUUAAUUGAUUGCUAUUGGCAUGCUAAGUGCCUGGAUGAGUGAUAUGCUAAUGUGAAUCUGUCAAUUAUCGUUAUGACUGCUAGCUAGUACUGUAGUAGUCACCCACAACUCUAGCAGUAUGCAGUAAUCACCUAUUUUCUCAAACUUUAUCAAGGAUUUUUAUAGCCAAAUCAUUUUAAUGAUAAAAAUGCAUUUACUAGAAAUUAAUCUACUUGGAUGUCUUAAACUGGAAUUUUAUAAACUAUCUUUCAUAUUAUAUUUUGUAAAUUAAAUUGAACUGAUGAUACACUUUAUUUAAGUUGCAAUAUUUCUAAUCAUUUUUUUUAACUUACUUUAGAAUAUUCUGUGUAUAUUUUUAUAAAAUUAAAAAAUCAAUUGAACUAAUGAUAUUUA
This is a long non-coding RNA of Anneissia japonica, 1088 nucleotides long. RefSeq lists it as uncharacterized. The transcript is spliced from 3 exons. The record is from RefSeq and is a predicted model, not a curated record. Lineage: Eukaryota; Metazoa; Echinodermata; Crinoidea; Comatulida; Comatulidae.